AAUUAACACACAAGUUUUAUUUCCAGUUCAAGGAUCAUAUUCCUUACUGUGAAGUGUCAAUCAGGAUUAAACAUAUAAGACUUCUUGUGUGGUCUGGACAUUCAUCUCUAAAAAUUCAUUGGUUUAAAAAAAACAUUUACUCAAGGGGUGCCUUGGUGACUCAGUUGGUUAAGCAUCUGACUCUUGGUUUUGGCUCAGGCCAUGAUCUCAGGGUGUGAGAUCAAGCCCUGCGUUGGGCACCACGCUCCGCAUGGAGUCUGCUUGAGAUUUUCCCUCUCCCUUUCACUCAGACCUUCCCCUCUCUGAAAUAAAAUCUUAAAAAAAAUGUACUCAAGACAGUACCCACUAAACAUGCACCCGAGUCAUGAGCUUCUUGGGCUUUUGUAGUCAUUAAACCAAUCACAGAAAUAUAUGAAAAAAUUACUAAAAAAAGCAAAUUCAGAAUUUUUAAUUUGUUGAGGCAUAUAAAACAUGGAAAAUUGAUUUUGUAGGGACCUAAAAAAGAUAUCUGAGGUCAACUUGUCAUCAUGGCUCAGAACUCAAAUCAUUCUCAAAACUCAAGAGAUAUAGCACACAAAUCUUUAAUUUCUAGAGUACACAUUGUUUCCGUUAGAUUUUAAAAAGAUCACAAAACCAAAACACCAAAGCUCUUUUUAUCUAAUGCCAAGCCUAUAAAUUGUUAACAUUGUUUAUUAAGAAUUCACAGUAAUUGUCUUGCAGUUUGCAGAUGCCAAGAAGUCAUGGCAAUAAAAUUGUAGAAUAGCAUUACAUAGAUUUAAAAAAAAAAGGUAAAGUGCUUUGAAAAAAAUUAUUAUAGUAUAAAUUACAUUUUAAAUCAGAAUGACUGACAAGCUUACAUGGAACAUCUGGGCUUCUGUUUAGAACUGCUUGACCUUUAAAACUUCUAGCCAGCGAAGGCAAGGAAAAAACAGCAGAGACCAGCCAAGAGCAUGGGACUGGUUCUGAGAUGCGAGUACUCACUCCUUUUCUCUGGGCCUCAGAAUUCUCAUUAAUGAAGUUAGAACAGAUCAUCUUUCUUGGAUCUUAAAAAGCCCCCAAACUCAUGGUCCCUUCUAAUCAUGAACAACACAGCCGACACCAUUUUGUGAGAGGGCAUAACCCCCUUUGAAAUUACUCCUGGAAUCACAACGAGGCCUUCCUUCUGUCUUGUCUCAUCAAGAGACAAGGUGACACACCCCUGAAACCAGAAAGCGCACUGCUCAUCAGAUAAUAGCAGAACUAUAAAAAUGUUCAGAAGCAGACAUUUAGGAGGUUCUUUUAAUGCCUAAUAAUUACAUGAAACAUGACAAAGACAGACAUAAAAGCUGUUAACAAGUCAAAGGAGACUUUUAAAUCUUUUGUGAUGUGAAACGUGGAAAAUCUUUUGCUUUUUGUCAAAACUUUAGGUUGAACAUUUCCCCCCCAUAAAAGGUACAUCACACUUUAUUUGUACAUACUUUAGAUGUUGGGAUUCAUAGGUUUCCUGCAAUCCGUGGGCACUUGAGUGUUGAUAUCUUGUGGCUGAACUUGGGCUCGCAGGUGAGAGGUCACGACAGUAUUGCAGAGGUGUCCUAGGCGCUGCUCCUGACUUGCAGAUACUCUUACCUCCACAUUUGCAUUUUCUACUCUGUUUAACAACUGGCUUCAACAUUCUCUGUGAAGGGUGUAAUAGCUUCCACAAGAUGGCUAAAGUUCAUCUUCCAUUACUAAAAUUUAUUAUGGCUUUUACUUUAGUAAACAACUUGUAAAGUUUCCACUAAGCUCAAAGAUGAAAGACUCUACCUACAGCAAUUAGCAUUUUGACGGUAAUAAUGCCUGAAAAAUAGUUCCAUCCUCUUCCCAUAGUGUACUGCCAAGUAAGUGUUUGACUAAAAAACAAAUGAGGCCUAAUACCCAUCUAAACUUCAGUGAAGGCAUACAGUAUAUGGCAGUUGAAGGCUGGCUUAACUAAUACUGAUCAUCUGACUCUUUAGUUCUACCCCUGCAGAGACUGAUCAAAAACCGAUGAUCCUAGACCAUACUGAGACGUGCCUUCACUAGAUAAAGAUUUACCAUUCUGACUUUUCUCUGCAUUUUGCAACUUUUUUAAAUUCUGAGGAAAUGUUCUAUAUAAAGAUCCUCUUUCUUUAGUUGAAGAGAAAACUAGCCUCUGCAGAUAAGUUUGGGUUCUCGACUGUGAAAAACAAAAACUAUUUCAUUCGUUUUAGCAGCCUCAACAUUUAGAACCAAAUUUGUUGUCCAAGCUUCACUUGCUAUGUGGAGUUGCCUGAAGCUACGUAGUUCUGUGCUGUUUUAAUGUUAAAUGUCUUCUCUAAAGGCUCUAUUUUGUAGGCCUCUUCAUGCCCUUUUAAAAGAAUAUAGAAUACAAAUUUCAAAAACAAAAAUAUAGUUACAAGUGAUUAUAGUUAAUGUAGUUAAGCAUACUGUAUUAGUUUCUACUAUAAUGUAGGUGUUAAAGAUGGAUUUAACAGCUGUUUUUAUAACGGAUAUAAUUUUACAUAGAAAAUAUGCUAUU
This 2515-nucleotide long non-coding RNA is filed under the name Canis lupus familiaris (dog). RNAcentral's name for it is "lncRNA (ENSCAFG00845004956.1)". The record is from RNAcentral. Lineage: Eukaryota; Metazoa; Chordata; Mammalia; Carnivora; Canidae.